AAAUAAGUAAGAGUUUGUGGUGGAUGCCUUGGGUCUGGAAGUCGAAGAAGGACGUGAUUACCUGCGAUAAGCCUCGUGGAGCUGGACAUAAGCUAUGAUACGGGGAUUUCCGAAUGGGGAAACCUAGCUAGAUUAAUACCUAGUUACUCAGAACUGAAUACAUAGGUUCUGUAGAGAGAAACGCUGUGAACUGAAACAUCUUAGUAGCAGCAGGAGUAGAAAAUAAAUAAUGAUUCUGUCAGUAGCGGCGAGCGAACGCGGAAGAGCCCAAACCGACAUUUGUCGGGGUUGUAGGACAUUCUACAUAGAGUUACAAAAUUAGUGUAUAGAAGAACAGGUUGGGAAACCUGACAAUAUAGGGUGAUAGUCCCGUAUUCGAAAUGCAUCUAAUCUCUUGAAUGUAUCCUGAGUAGGGCGGGGCACGUGAAACCCUGUCUGAAUCUGCCGGGACCACCCGGUAAGGCUAAAUACUAACCAGACACCGAUAGUGAACAAGUACCGUGAGGGAAAGGUGAAAAGAACCCCGGGAGGGGAGUGAAAUAGAUUCUGAAACCACUUACUUACAAGUAGUUAGAGCCCGUUAAUGGGUGAUAGCGCACAUCUUGCAGUAUGGACCGGCGAGUUACGUUAACAUGCAAGGUUAAGUGGAAAAAAGCGGAGCCGAAGAGAAAUCGAGUCUUAAUAGGGCGAAUUAGUAUGUUGAUGUAAACCCGAAACCAGGUGAUCUAUUCAUGAGCAGGCUGAAGCUUAGGUAAAAUUAAGUGGAGGGCCGAACCGUAGUACGCUAAAAAGUGCCCGGAUGACUUGUGAAUAGCGGUGAAAUUCCAAUCGAACCUGGAGAUAGCUGGUUCUCCCCGAAAUAGCUUUAGGGCUAGCGUGUGAUUUUAAGUUAUGGGGGUAGAGCACUGAAUGUGGAAUGGCGACGCCUAGUCGUACUGACUACAAUCAAACUCCGAAUACCAUUAUGUAUAAUCAUGCAGUCGGAAUGCGGGAGAUAAGUUCCGUAUUCGCGAGGGAAACAACCCAGAUCGUCAGCUAAGGUCCCAAAACCAUGUUAAGUGAGAAAGGUUGUGAGAUUUCAUAGACAACUAGGAUGUUGGCUCAGAAGCAGCCAUCAUUUAAAGAGUGCGUAAUAGCUCACUAGUCAAGAGAUCUUGCGCCAAUAAUGUAACGGGACUAAACAUGGUACCGAAGCUACGGGUACGAAAGUACGUUAGGGGAGCGUUCUAAGGGCAAUGAAGCUAGACCGUGAGGACUGGUGGAGCGCUUAGAAGUGAGAAUGCCGGUAUGAGUAACGAUUCAAAGUGAGAAUCUUUGACGCCUAUUGGGGAAGGUUUCCUGGGCAAGGUUCGUCCACCCAGGGUUAGUCGGGACCUAAGGUCAGGCCGAAAGGCGUAGCCGAUGGAAAACAGGUUAAUAUUCCUGUACUAAACCUAUAAAAAGUGAUUGGAAUGACGGAGAAUGAUAGUAUUGACCACUUAACGGAUUGUGGUGCAAAUAUCAAAGUAGUUAUGUUGGCAAAUCCGCAUAAAUAAUACAAGAUAUGAUACGUAGGGAAAGCUUCGGCAAGUACUGAAUAAUAUGAUUUAUUCUUCCUAGAAAAGUUUCUAAACGUUUUAAUUUUAUGGGAACCCGUACCGAGAACGGACACACGUCCCCAAGAUGAGUAUUCUAAGGCGAGCGAGAUAACCAAUGUUAAGGAACUCUGCAAAAUGACCCCGUAACUUAGGAAGAAGGGGUGCUCACUUUAUGUGAGCCGCAGCGAAAUGUGAGGGGCAACUGUUUAUCAAAAACACAGCUAUCUGCUAAGUCGCAAGACGAUGUAUAGGUGGUGACGCCUGCCCAGUGCCCGAAGGUUAAGUUGAGGUGUUAGCUUAUGCGAAGCAUUGAUAUGAAGCCCGGGUGAACGGCGGCCGUAACUAUAACGGUCCUAAGGUAGCGAAAUUCCUUGUCGGCUAAUUACCGACCUGCACGAAAGGCGUAAUGAUCUCUCAACUGUCUCAACAUUGGACUCGGUGAAAUUAUGGUCCCAGGGAAAGCGCUGGGUACCCGCACCAAGACGAAAAGACCCCGUGGAGCUUUACUAUAGCUUUGUAUUGAAAAUUGAUUUAACAUGUGUAGGAUAGGUGGGAGACUAUGAUUUAGAGACGCUAGUCUCUAAGGAGUCACCCUUGAAAUACCACCCUUGUUACGUUGAUUUUCUAACUUGCAACCUAAACGGGUUGGAGGACAGUGCAUGGCGGGUAGUUUGACUGGGGCGGUCGCCUCCUAAAGAGUAACGGAGGCGUUCAAAGUUACACUCAAUAUGGUCAGAAACCAUAUGUAGAGCGCAAAGGUAUAAGUGUAAUUGACUGUGAGACAUACAGGUCGAGCAGGUACGAAAGUAGGACUUAGUGAUCCGGCAGUUCAUUGUGGAAUGGCUGUCGCUCAACGGAUAAAAGUUACCCCGGGGAUAACAGAGUUAUCUUCCCCAAGAGAUCACAUCGACGGGAAGGAUUACUACCUCGAUGUCGGCUCAUCGCAUCCUGGAGCUGAAGUCGGUUCCAAGGGUUUGGCUGUUCGCCAAUUAAAGCGGUACGCGAGCUGGGUUCAGAACGUCGUGAGACAGUUCGGUCCCUAUCUGGUGUGGGCGUUGGAAUAUUGAUGAGAGCUGCUCUUAGUACGAGAGGACCGGAGUGGACAUACCACUGGUGCUCCAGUUGUUUCGCCAGAAGCAUAGCUGGGUAGCUAAGUAUGGAAAGGAUAACCGCUGAAAGCAUCUAAGCGGGAAGCCUCCUCAGAGAUGAAUAUUCCCUUGAAAUUCCUUGUAGACUACGAGGUUGAUAGGUUGGAAGUGUACGUGUAGUGAUACAUUUAGCUGACCAAUACUAAUAAAUUGAUAGGUUUA
RNAcentral lists this ribosomal RNA (2887 nucleotides) under fish gut metagenome. Its description in RNAcentral is "Bacterial large subunit ribosomal RNA". It matches the Rfam family "Bacterial large subunit ribosomal RNA". The record is from RNAcentral.